RNAcentral lists this ribosomal RNA (531 nucleotides) under uncultured bacterium. RNAcentral's name for it is "bacterial SSU rRNA". It matches the Rfam family "Bacterial small subunit ribosomal RNA", at positions 777 to 1304 of the family's 1533-position model. The record is from RNAcentral.
AAUAGAUACCCGGGGUAGUCCCACGCCGUAAACGAUGAGUGCUAAGUGUUAGAGGGUUUCCGCCCUUUAGUGCUGCAGCUAACGCAUUAAGCACUCCGCCUGGGGAGUACGGCCGCAAGGCUGAAACUCAAAGGAAUUGACGGGGGCCCGCACAAGCGGUGGAGCAUGUGGUUUAAUUCGAAGCAACGCGAAGAACCUUACCAGGUCUUGACAUCCUCUGCCAACCCUAGAGAUAGGGCGUUCCCCUUCGGGGGACAGAGUGACAGGUGGUGCAUGGUUGUCGUCAGCUCGUGUCGUGAGAUGUUGGGUUAAGUCCCGCAACGAGCGCAACCCUUGAUCUUAGUUGCCAGCAUUCAGUUGGGCACUCUAAGGUGACUGCCGGUGACAAACCGGAGGAAGUGGGGAUGACGUCAAAUCAUCAUGCCCCUUAUGACCUGGGCUACGACACGUGCUACAAUGGAUGGUACAAAGAGCUGCGAACCCGCGAGGGUAAGCCAAUCUCAUAAAGCCAUUCUCAGUUCGGAUUGUAGG